RNAcentral lists this long non-coding RNA (713 nucleotides) under Phasianus colchicus (ring-necked pheasant). RNAcentral's name for it is "lncRNA (ENSPCLG00000004434.1)". The record is from RNAcentral. Lineage: Eukaryota; Metazoa; Chordata; Aves; Galliformes; Phasianidae.
AAGCAAAAGUGCCUUUAUCCAUGCAUCUGAACAUUUUGGUGAUGCUUUUGAGAGGAUCUGCGGAUGGCUGCCAUUUAUCGAGACAGAUGAACUCAUUUGCAGGAAAAGGAAAGGCAGAGAUACAAAGAUUGACAUUUCUACUGUGUGGUUUGAAGCUAUAAUGUAAAGCCCAGGGUCCCUCCUGUCCAUGGAAUGCUCAUCUGCUGUGGGGAUAAAUGAGAAUUCCAAACCAUAAGGAGAUAAUAUAUUUACUAAAAAGCUUCCCGAAUGUUCACAUGUAUCAUAAGAACAGGAGACACUGUGUUCAAAUGGCAGUACUCUUGGUAAAAGAAGACCUCAGUUAACUGAUGAAAGGCCAGAUAAAAAUAUUCACAUUCAAAGAGCUUUAAAGGUGUUUACUCUUAAACUGGGAUUGUCAGUAUGUGCUUUUUAGCUGCUGAGCACUGUAGCAGUGUAUCAUUUGCAUGUAUCUGCAUCAACAGACGUGCUAAAAUGAGUAUUUUCUAACUCCAGAAGCUCUCUAGGAUUCAGAAAUACCAACCAAGUUCUGAAAUUUCAUUGGAACUGCUUGAGAACAUUUGGAUAGAUUUAGCAAGACUUGAGAAGACAUAAGCCACCUGUCUGUCUGCUGGCCAGCAAAUGCUGGGAGAUGUUGAUGACUUACUGACAGCAACAAAAAUAAAGAAGCAAAUGCAUGAGAAGAAUAGAAUGAU